RNAcentral lists this ribosomal RNA (468 nucleotides) under uncultured bacterium. Its description in RNAcentral is "partial 16S ribosomal RNA". It matches the Rfam family "Bacterial small subunit ribosomal RNA", at positions 28 to 507 of the family's 1533-position model. The record is from RNAcentral.
GACGAACGCUGGCGGCGUGCUUAACACAUGCAAGUCGAACGGAAAGGCCCUGCUUUUGUGGGGUGCUCGAGUGGCGAACGGGUGAGUAACACGUGAGUAACCUGCCCCUGACUUUGGGAUAACUUAAGGAAACUGGGGCUAAUACCGGAUAGGAGCUCCUGCUGCAUGGUGGGGGUUGGAAAGUUUCGGCGGUUGGGGAUGGACUCGCGGCUUAUCAGCUUGUUGGUGGGGUAGUGGCUUACCAAGGCUUUGACGGGUAGCCGGCCUGAGAGGGUGACCGGCCACAUUGGGACUGAGAUACGGCCCAGACUCCUACGGGAGGCAGCAGUGGGGAAUAUUGCACAAUGGGCGGAAGCCUGAUGCAGCAACGCCGCGUGCGGGAUGACGGCCUUCGGGUUGUAAACCGCUUUCGCCUGUGACGAAGCGUGAGUGACGGUAAUGGGUAAAGAAGCACCGGCUAACUACGUG